GGCGGCAGGCCUAACACAUGCAAGUCGAGCGGCAGCACGGGUACUUGUACCUGGUGGCGAGCGGCGGACGGGUGAGUAAUGCCUAGGAAUCUGCCUGGUAGUGGGGGAUAACGCUCGGAAACGGACGCUAAUACCGCAUACGUCCUACGGGAGAAAGCAGGGGACCUUCGGGCCUUGCGCUAUCAGAUGAGCCUAGGUCGGAUUAGCUAGUUGGUGAGGUAAUGGCUCACCAAGGCGACGAUCCGUAACUGGUCUGAGAGGAUGAUCAGUCACACUGGAACUGAGACACGGUCCAGACUCCUACGGGAGGCAGCAGUGGGGAAUAUUGGACAAUGGGCGAAAGCCUGAUCCAGCCAUGCCGCGUGUGUGAAGAAGGUCUUCGGAUUGUAAAGCACUUUAAGUUGGGAGGAAGGGCAUUAACCUAAUACGUUGGUGUCUUGACGUUACCGACAGAAUAAGCACCGGCUAACUCUGUGCCAGCAGCCGCGGUAAUACAGA
This 498-nucleotide ribosomal RNA is filed under the name Pseudomonas sp. 5S2.B10. RNAcentral describes it as "bacterial SSU rRNA". It matches the Rfam family "Bacterial small subunit ribosomal RNA", at positions 38 to 529 of the family's 1533-position model. Lineage: Bacteria; Pseudomonadati; Pseudomonadota; Gammaproteobacteria; Pseudomonadales; Pseudomonadaceae. The record is from RNAcentral.